Small nucleolar RNA from Tupaia belangeri (northern tree shrew), 83 nucleotides. The record is from Ensembl. NCBI's taxonomy places the organism in Eukaryota, Metazoa, Chordata, Mammalia, Scandentia, Tupaiidae.
UGGCUGAUGGUGCGGUGACCCCUGUGCAGUCUGAGUUCUGAGAACCAGGCGAUGGGGUAUGUUCUGAGAACGGAGGAAAAAAG